Molecule: ribosomal RNA, 700 nt
Filed under: uncultured Bacteroidota bacterium
Lineage: Bacteria; Pseudomonadati; Bacteroidota
Description: bacterial SSU rRNA
Rfam family: Bacterial small subunit ribosomal RNA
Source: RNAcentral
CAUAGUGGCGCACGGGUGUGUAACACGUAUGCAACCUACCUUACAUUGGGGGAUAGCCUUUCGAAAGGGAGAUUAAUACCGCAUAAGACAGUAACUAGGCAUCUAGUAGCUGUUAAAGAUUUAUCGAUGUAAGAUGGGCAUGCGUCCAAUUAGUUAGUUGGCGAGGUAAUGGCUCACCAAGACUUUGAUUGGUAGGGGAACUGAGAGGUCAAUCCCCCACACUGGCACUGAGAUACGGGCCAGACUCCUACGGGAGGCAGCAGUAGGGAAUAUUGGGCAAUAGACGUAAGUCUGACCCAGCCAUGCCGCGUGCAGGAUGAAGGCGUUAUGCGUUGUAAACUGCUUUUAUACAGGAAGAAACGACUCAUGCGAGAGGCUUUGACGGUACUGUAUGAAUAAGCACCGGCUAACUCCGUGCCAGCAGCCGCGGUAAUACGGAGGGUGCAAGCGUUGUCCGGAUUUAUUGGGUUUAAAGGGUGCGCAGGUGGUUUAUUAAGUCAGUGGUGAAAGACGGUCGCUCAACGAUUGCAGUGCCAUUGAAACUGGUAGACUUGAGUAAAGUAGAGGUGGGCGGAAUUGAUAGUGUAGCGGUGAAAUGCAUAGAUAUUAUCAAGAACUCCAAUUGCGAAGGCAGCUCACUUGGCUUUUACUGACACUCAUGCACGAAAGUGUGGGUAUCAAACAGGAUUAGAUACCCUGG